RNAcentral lists this ribosomal RNA (567 nucleotides) under uncultured bacterium. Its description in RNAcentral is "bacterial SSU rRNA". It matches the Rfam family "Bacterial small subunit ribosomal RNA", at positions 336 to 916 of the family's 1533-position model. The record is from RNAcentral.
CUCCUACGGGAGGCAGCAGCAGGGAAUAUUGCACAAUGGGCGAAAGCCUGAUGCAGCGACGCCGCGUGCGGGAUGAAGGCCUUCGGGUUGUAAACCGCUUUCAGGAGGGACGAAAAUGACGGUACCUCCAGAAGAAGCCCCGGCCAACUACGUGCCAGCAGCCGCGGUAACACGUAGGGGGCGAACGUUGUCCGGAUUUAUUGGGCGUAAAGGGCUCGUAGGCGGUUUAGCAAGUCGGUCGUGAAAGCCCGGGGCUCAACCCCGGGACGCCGGUCGAAACUGCUAUGACUAGGGUCCGGUAGAGGUGAGUGGAAUUCUCGGUGUAGCGGUGAAAUGCGCAGAUAUCGAGAGGAACACCAGUAGCGAAGGCGGCUCACUGGGCCGGUACCGACGCUGAGGAGCGAAAGCGUGGGGAGCAAACAGGAUUAGAUACCCUGGUAGUCCACGCCGUAAACGUUGAACACUAGGUGUGGGGGACUUAUCCACGUCCUCCGUGCCGCAGCUAACGCAUUAAGUGUUCCGCCUGGGGAGUACGGCCGCAAGGCUAAAACUCAAAGGAAUUGACGG